This 104-nucleotide non-coding RNA is filed under the name Brugia malayi. The record is from RNAcentral. Lineage: Eukaryota; Metazoa; Nematoda; Chromadorea; Rhabditida; Onchocercidae.
UAAUUAUCAAGCCUAAGCCUAAGCCUAAGCCUAAGCCUAAGCCUAAGCCUAAGCCUCAAGCCUAAGCCUAAGCCUAAGCCUAAGCCUAAGCCUAAGCCUAAGCC